Molecule: long non-coding RNA, 444 nt
Organism: Gossypium arboreum
Lineage: Eukaryota; Viridiplantae; Streptophyta; Magnoliopsida; Malvales; Malvaceae
Exons: 3
Source: RefSeq, a predicted model, not a curated record
AAGAAUUAAAUGGAUGAAAUAUGAAAUUUUAUUAAAAGAAAAAGGGGUGAAAAGAACAAAGUUUUGUCCAUCUUUGUUCAUCAUAGCCUAAAGUUAGAGAAGAGAAAGGAGAGGAGAAAGCUCUUGAAUGUUCAGUCACUUGGGGAAGAAAAUUGAAGGCGGUUCGUGUGUGGAUCUUGUCAGCAUAUCGUCGCAAACAGGAAAUCCCCAACCGUAGUGGGCUUGGAGCUGUAAGGGAAUUCGGAGUGGCCACCCGUUCUGAAAGUUUGAUUUUCUUCUGGUGAACUGGACAUCCUUUUAUUUACGUUUGAAGUUUUGGGUUUUUAAAUGUAAUAAGGCCGCUUAAUUAUUUUUGAUGGUUUUAAUAUGUAUUACUAAGAUAGGUAUUACUUAUUUUAACUGUUGAAAUUGGAUAGCUUUAGGGCGCGUUUUCAAAAACAACAA